This 396-nucleotide ribosomal RNA is filed under the name uncultured bacterium. RNAcentral's name for it is "bacterial SSU rRNA". It matches the Rfam family "Bacterial small subunit ribosomal RNA", at positions 30 to 424 of the family's 1533-position model. The record is from RNAcentral.
AGUGAACGCUGGCGGCAGGCCUAAUACAUGCAAGUCGAACGGCAGCACAGCAGAGCUUGCUCUGUGGGUGGCGAGUGGCGGACGGGUGAGGAAUACGUGGGAAUCUGCCCAGUCGUGGGGGAUAACGUAGGGAAACUUACGCUAAUACCGCAUGCGCCCUUCGGGGAAAGCCGGGGACCUUCGGCCUGGCGCGAUUGGAUGAGCCCACGUCGGAUUAGCUAGUUGGCGGGGUAAAGGCCCACCAAGGCGACGAUCCGUAGCUGGUCUGAGAGGAUGAUCAGCCACACUGGAACUGAGACAGGUCCAGACUCCUACGGGAGGCAGCAGUAGGGAAUAUUGGACAAUGGGCGCAAGCCUGAUCCAGCCAUGCCGCGUGAGUGAAGAAGGCCUCGGGUU